AACGAACGCUGGCGGCAUGCCUAACACAUGCAAGUCGAACGAUGCCUUCGGGCAUAGUGGCGAACGGGUGCGUAACGCGUGGGAAUCUGCCCUUGGCUUCGGAAUAACAGUUAGAAAUGACUGCUAAUACCGGAUGAUGUCCCCCUGAGAGAACUUGGGGACCAAAGAUUUAUCGGCCAGGGAUGAGCCCGCGUAGGAUUAGGUAGUUGGUGGGGUAAAGGCCUACCAAGCCGACGAUCCUUAGCUGGUCUGAGAGGAUGAUCAGCCACACUGGGACUGAGACACGGCCCAGACUCCUACGGGAGGCAGCAGUGGGGAAUAUUGGACAAUGGGGGGAACCCUGAUCCAGCAAUGCCGCGUGAGUGAUGAAGGCCUUAGGGUUGUAAAGCUCUUUUACCAGGGAUGAUAAUGACAGUACCUGGAGAAUAAGCUCCGGCUAACUCCGUG
This 447-nucleotide ribosomal RNA is filed under the name uncultured bacterium. RNAcentral describes it as "partial 16S ribosomal RNA". It matches the Rfam family "Bacterial small subunit ribosomal RNA", at positions 29 to 507 of the family's 1533-position model. The record is from RNAcentral.